ACCGAUAAACUUGACAACAACUCCACCACCAGUUUUUUACUGACAAGCUUAUAAUCAAGUCAAUCAACAAACCAACCGAACAAACUACCAAUCAUUCUUCUGGAAAAAGCAAUACAGUCUUCUUUGAGAAAUGGCUACCUAUAGUUGUGGGCUUGUCAGCUGCCGUAUUGUUGCUUAUUGUCGGUGUUGCCACGUGUCUUUGUUUGACAAAAACAAGAGUCCAUUGUAUCGAUCCUGCAGUGUGAAUUUAGCAAAUAUUGAUGGAUUUUGAUCUGCAGUGUGUACAUUGUGUUCAAAGUCACUGUGAAUUUAUUUGUGCCUCAA
Molecule: long non-coding RNA, 324 nt
Organism: Saccostrea echinata
Lineage: Eukaryota; Metazoa; Mollusca; Bivalvia; Ostreida; Ostreidae
Exons: 3
Source: RefSeq, a predicted model, not a curated record